GUACACACCGCCCGUCACGUCAUGAAAGCCGGUUUCGCCCGAAGUGCGUUUGCCAACCAGCAAUGGAGGCGGCGCCCUAAGGUGAGGCUGGUGAUUGGGACGAAGUCGUAACAAGGUAGCCGUAGGUAACCUGCAGAAGGAUCA
This 144-nucleotide ribosomal RNA is filed under the name uncultured eukaryote. Its description in RNAcentral is "partial small subunit ribosomal RNA". It matches the Rfam family "Bacterial small subunit ribosomal RNA", at positions 1383 to 1525 of the family's 1533-position model. The record is from RNAcentral.